GUUAACAUCUCCUUUCUCACUUGAACCUCAGGAAAGAAAGGCCAACACUGUAGGACCAAAGUGUCGUUACAGAUUUCUUCUCUUCUAUACAUCUUCCUGGUAUUGCAGUUGGAUUUUGGGUGGACGUGGAAAUAAACGCACGAAUUUAGUGUAUCACCUGGAUCCACAAUGUUUUCAAUUUUACAUUAACUAAUAUGGUUGAUUUUAUAUUAACUUGUAUCUUGUUAAUGCCAUAGAACUGU
RNAcentral lists this long non-coding RNA (242 nucleotides) under Mustela putorius furo (domestic ferret). Its description in RNAcentral is "lncRNA (ENSMPUG00000031852.1)". The record is from RNAcentral. Lineage: Eukaryota; Metazoa; Chordata; Mammalia; Carnivora; Mustelidae.